RNAcentral lists this ribosomal RNA (855 nucleotides) under uncultured bacterium. RNAcentral's name for it is "bacterial SSU rRNA". It matches the Rfam family "Bacterial small subunit ribosomal RNA", at positions 642 to 1501 of the family's 1533-position model. The record is from RNAcentral.
UGAGUGAGGUAGAGGCAGGCGGAAUUCCCGGUNNAGCGGUGAAAUGCGUAGAGAUCGGGAGGAACACCAGUGGCGAAGGCGGCCUGCUGGGCCUUAACUGACGCUGAGGCACGAAAGCAUGGGUAGCAAACAGGAUUAGAUACCCUGGUAGUCCAUGCCGUAAACGAUGAUUACUAGGUGUGGGUGGUCUGACCCCAUCCGUGCCGGAGUUAACACAAUAAGUAAUCCACCUGGGGAGUACGGCCGCAGGGUUGAAACUCAAAGGAAUUGACGGGGGCCCGCACAAGCAGUGGAGUAUGUGGUUUAAUUCGAAGCAACGCGAAGAACCUUACCAAGUCUUGACAUCCUGCUAACGAGGUAGAGAUACGUUAGGUGCCCUUCGGGGAAAGCAGAGACAGGUGGUGCAUGGUUGUCGUCAGCUCGUGUCGUGAGAUGUUGGGUUAAGUCCCGCAACGAGCGCAACCCCUGCUAUUAGUUGCUACGCAAGAGCACUCUAAUAGGACUGCCGUUGACAAAACGGAGGAAGGUGGGGACGACGUCAAAUCAUCAUGCCCCUUAUGACCUGGGCUACACACGUACUACAAUGGCCGUCAACAGAGAGAAGCAAAACUGCGAAGUGGAGCAAAACUCUAAAAACGGUCCCAGUUCGGAUCGUAGGCUGCAACCCGCCUACGUGAAGUUGGAAUUGCUAGUAAUCGCGGAUCAUCAUGCCGCGGUGAAUACGUUCCCGGGCCUUGUACACACCGCCCGUCACACCAUGGGAGCCGGUAAUACCCGAAGUCAGUAGUCUAACCGCAAGGGGGACGCUGCCGAAGGUAGGAUUGGCGACUGGGGUGAAGUCGUAACAAGGUAACC